RNAcentral lists this ribosomal RNA (209 nucleotides) under uncultured bacterium. RNAcentral's name for it is "partial 16S ribosomal RNA". It matches the Rfam family "Bacterial small subunit ribosomal RNA", at positions 568 to 774 of the family's 1533-position model. The record is from RNAcentral.
UGCGUAGGCGGCGCGGUAAGUCGGGUGUGAAAUCUCGGAGCUUAACUCCGAAACUGCAUUCGAUACUGCCGUGCUUGAGGACUGGAGAGGAGACUGGAAUUUACGGUGUAGCGGUGAAAUGCGUAGAUAUCGUAAGGAAGACCAGUGGCGAAGGCGGGUCUCUGGACAGUUCCUGACGCUGAGGCACGAAGGGUCAGGGAAGGCAAACG